Molecule: ribosomal RNA, 600 nt
Filed under: Blastobotrys mokoenaii
Lineage: Eukaryota; Fungi; Ascomycota; Dipodascomycetes; Dipodascales; Trichomonascaceae
Description: LSU rRNA
Rfam family: Eukaryotic large subunit ribosomal RNA
Source: RNAcentral
ACCUCAAAUCAGGCAAGACUACCCGCUGAACUUAAGCAUAUCAAUAAGCGGAGGAAAAGAAACCAACAGGGAUUGCCUUAGUAACGGCGAGCGAAGCGGCAAUAGCUCAAAUUUGAAAUCUGGCGUCUUUGGCGUCCGAGUUGUAAUUUCAAGAAGUGUCUUCUGGUUUGGCCCUUGCAUAUGUUCCUUGGAACAGGACGUCAUAGAGGGUGAGAAUCCCGUAUAUGGUGAGGUGCCCAUUUCCUUUGUAAGACGCUCUCUAAGAGUCGAGUUGUUUGGGAAUGCAGCUCUAAGUGGGUGGUAAAUUCCAUCUAAAGCUAAAUAUUGGCGAGAGACCGAUAGCGAACAAGUACUGUGAAGGAAAGAUGAAAAGAACUUUGAAAAGAGAGUGAAAAAGUACGUGAAAUUGCUGAAAGGGAAGGGCUUGAGAUCAGACUUGGUAUUCAGUGAUCAGCUGUCUUUCGGGACUGUGCACUCGCUGUUUACUGGGCCAACAUCAGUUUGGAUGGCGAGAUAAUGACAAUUGAAUGUGGCUCUCUCUUCGGGGGGAGUGUUAUAGCUUUUGUUGAUAUCGCCUAUCUGGAUUGAGGACCGCGCUUC